RNAcentral lists this ribosomal RNA (484 nucleotides) under uncultured bacterium. RNAcentral's name for it is "partial 16S ribosomal RNA". It matches the Rfam family "Bacterial small subunit ribosomal RNA", at positions 30 to 507 of the family's 1533-position model. The record is from RNAcentral.
AUUGAACGCUGGCGGCAGGCCUAACACAUGCAAGUCGAGCGGAUGAAGGGAGCUUGCUCCUGGAUUCAGCGGCGGACGGGUGAGUAAUGCCUAGGAAUCUGCCUGGUAGUGGGGGAUAACGUCCGGAAACGGGCGCUAAUACCGCAUACGUCCUGAGGGAGAAAGUGGGGGAUCUUCGGACCUCACGCUAUCAGAUGAGCCUAGGUCGGAUUAGCUAGUUGGUGGGGUAAAGGCCUACCAAGGCGACGAUCCGUAACUGGUCUGAGAGGAUGAUCAGUCAAAAUGGAAAUGAGACACGGUCCAGACUUCUAAGGGAGGCAGGAGGUGGGAAUAUUGGACAAUGGGCGAAAGCCUGAACCAGCCAAGCCGCGUGGUUGAAGAAGGUCCUCGGAUUGUAAAGCAAUUUAAGGUGGGAGGAAGGGCAGUAAGUUAAUAACUUGCUGUUUUGACGUUACCAACAGAAUAAGCACCGGCUAACUUCGUG